GGCGAACGCUGGCGGCGUGCUUAACACAUGCAAGUCGUACGGUAAGGCCCUUUCGGGGGUACACGAGUGGCGAACGGGUGAGUAACACGUGAGUAACCUGCCCACAACUUUGGGAUAACGCUAGGAAACUGGUGCUAAUACUGGAUAUGUGCUCCUGCUGCAUGGUGGGGGUUGGAAAGCUCCGGCGGUUGUGGAUGGACUCGCGGCCUAUCAGCCUGUUGGUGGGGUAGUGGCCUACCAAGGCGGCGACGGGUAGCCGGCCUGAGAGGGUGACCGGCCACAUUGGGACUGAGAUACGGCCCAGACUCCUACGGGAGGCAGCAGUGGGGAAUAUUGCACAAUGGGCGCAAGCCUGAUGCAGCAACGCCGCGUGCGGGAUGACGGCCUUCGGGUUGUAAACCGCUUUCAGCAGGGACGAAGCUUUUUGUGACGGUACCUGCAGAAGAAGCACCGGCUAACUACGUG
RNAcentral lists this ribosomal RNA (465 nucleotides) under uncultured bacterium. RNAcentral's name for it is "partial 16S ribosomal RNA". It matches the Rfam family "Bacterial small subunit ribosomal RNA", at positions 28 to 507 of the family's 1533-position model. The record is from RNAcentral.